Molecule: ribosomal RNA, 594 nt
Filed under: fungal sp. 9DI1-9A
Lineage: Eukaryota; Fungi
Description: eukaryotic LSU rRNA
Rfam family: 5.8S ribosomal RNA (bases 195-348)
Source: RNAcentral
UCGAGUUUUGAACGGGUUGUCUGCGUGGCUCGCAAGGGCAUGUGCACGCCUGUCUCAUCCACUCUCAACUUCUGUGCACUUUUCAUAGGCCGGCUUGUGGGUGCGUUCGCGCACUUGUAGGUGUCGGGCUUAUGCUUUAUUACAAACGAUUCAGUUUUAGAAUGUCAUACUUUGCUAUAACGCAAUUUAUAUACAACUUUCAGCAACGGAUCUCUUGGCUCUCGCAUCGAUGAAGAACGCAGCGAAAUGCGAUAAGUAAUGUGAAUUGCAGAAUUCAGUGAAUCAUCGAAUCUUUGAACGCACCUUGCGCUCCUUGGUAUUCCGAGGAGCAUGCCUGUUUGAGUCUCAUGGAAUUCUCAACCUUCAGCUUUAUUGAUGAAGGCUUGGACUUGGAGGUCGUGCCGGCUCUCGUAGUCGGCUCCUCUGAAAUGCAUUAGUGCGAACGUUACCAGCCGCUUCAGCGUGAUAAUUAUCUGCGUUGCUGUGGAGGGUAUUCUAGUGUUCACGCUUCUAACCGUCUUCGGACAAAUUUCUGAACUCUGAGCUCAAAUCAGGUAGGACUACCCGCUGAACUUAAGCAUAUCAAUUAAGCCG